CAGUUCCCUCCUUUUUUGAUUUUAAAUUUAGUCAGUUAUUUUCAAGCUGCCUCCUGAUUAUUUUCACCUGUAAAAGCCCUGAAUCAUCAGUCUUGCUGAAUCACCUGCAGACUAACAACACAAACAGGUAAGAGAGGAAAAUAAUCAUCAUUUACUGUUAAAAACAUUAUGAAAAUUGAAGCUUUGUGUGUUCUUAUUGUAAUUUAUUUAUUUUAUAGCAGGUAAACUUUAUACUGUAAGCUUCAUUCCCUUUAUAACAGAGAUUUCAUAUGUGAGGUAAUCUUGCUGGGAGUGAAGGCAGUGCGUAUGACCACUUGAUAUGAGAGACACAUCCUGUUUUUAAAGGUGGAUCAUGAGUGAAGCUCUGCAGGUCGGCCAUUGACUUGAUAACAGGGGUUUAUUUUUAUUCAAUUUAUGAAUAAAUCUCUCGCCAACCAUUCACCUAUUUUCUGACAAAACAGAUCCAAAUCUUGUUCAGCCUGAUGCUCAACCUUGUAUGAUGAUGACCACAGCCAGGUGAUGGAGAUCUGUGUUAAUCACAGCCUGCGUCUUAAGAUCAACAUGACAAUAGCGGCCAUCUUUUAUCUUACUCUUAUCUGACUAAAUGUUCAGCAUCAUUGACACAAAACAAAGAACAUUGGAUGGAGUAUGUACUGUACAAUGACCCAGCAAACAAAAUAAUAUGGACUUUUUUGGCGAGAUUCUAACAUUGACACAAUCCUAUUGACUAUAAUUUUUACAGUUAGUAAUGUAUCAUUAACAUCCCAUUCAUUUG
Non-coding RNA from Misgurnus anguillicaudatus (oriental weatherfish), 775 nucleotides. The record is from RefSeq and is a predicted model, not a curated record. NCBI's taxonomy places the organism in Eukaryota, Metazoa, Chordata, Actinopteri, Cypriniformes, Cobitidae.